UUUUGGCUGUGCUUUUAGGAUACGCAUCCUUGCUAAUCAGGUCCUAUUGGAGAUUAUGCUCUAAAAUGGACAAGAUAGGAUCUUCUGGUUCCCAAAUAACCUAUCAGUAAAAUAGCCUGAGAGAGGGAUAAGGCUAAGUAGAGGGACAAGGUUUAUCCACAGUUCAGAAAUGAAAUCUAAAACAAAGAGGCAACCAUUCGUGAAUUUUUUAAUUAACAAUGAAGUAUUUAUACAUCCUGGCCAAAUGAAUUUUGUAUUGAAAAAUGAAUGUGGGUUGAGAAUCUUAGCUUUGUUCUCGUUAUCGAUAGCUUCCUUUUUGGAUAUUUAGUGUAGCCUCUUCACUCUAAAUACCCCUAGAGAUGCUCCACUGUCUUCCUGUCCGUGCAAUUUGCUCCAUUGUUGUCUUUCUUCUUUUCUUAAUCUAUGUGAUUGUGACUAUCAAACUAUGACUGUGGAGGUGAGUUGUGCUUUAGCACAAUGAAGAAUAUGAAGGCAAGGCUGGCAAACAGCAGACACAUUGCAGACAAUAUGAGUAUAUCUGUAUUACCCCUCUCUUGGUUCAAGCUUCUUAUUGAUGCCACUCUAUCCCACACAUAAGAAUCAUCCGGCAACUUGGGGCAACUGCAAUUUGAUGCACACUCCUUUGUGUUGCAGUAGAAACUGAUAGAAGUCAUUCUAUUC
This 681-nucleotide unclassified non-coding RNA is filed under the name Hevea brasiliensis (rubber tree). The record is from RNAcentral. Lineage: Eukaryota; Viridiplantae; Streptophyta; Magnoliopsida; Malpighiales; Euphorbiaceae.